UUCUAUAUAUAUAUUUUGAGAAACUAAAUUAAAUUAUACGCAGUAGUUAGCAUUCUUUGUUUUUCUUUCCUGAGAACGUCUUUUCCAUUCACAUAUACAAAGUUGACACGCAAAAGAAGAAGAAAAAUUUAGAAAUUACUCGUAUCCAAUUGAAUAUUUUUAUUUGAAUUUUUCUCGUGAUGAUCAUUGAUCAAACUAAGUUAACUAAUUAUCUAGUCAUAGUAAGUUAGUUAUUUGUUAAGUUACCAUACAACUUACUUUAAACAUGUAUUGAUAAUUAUAUUUAAGUAACUUGACAGUGAAAGAAAACUUUUACACUUUUGGUGUACAAAAUUUAAGUCUUUGAAUAUGUGUCAGUUACAUAUCUAAUCUAGUCCCAUUUUAUGUGAUGUUUUUAAAUGACGACGACGACAAGAAUAACAAAAAACUCGGUCAGGUUUCACAUAUAUGUAAUACUCCCUCCGUCCCAUUUUAUGUGAUGUUUUUAAAUGACGAUGACGACGACAAAAAUAACAAAAAACUCGGUGAGGUUUCACAUAUGAGUUUGGGAGAGUAGUGUAUAUGCAAUUAUUGUUGAAAAAAUAUAUAGAGACAUUUCCAGUAGACCCUCGGCUCCAUGUGAUACCUUUAAACGAGCCACGAUUUUUUCAUGUGUCUUUUGAUCUUAAUCAAUUUAAUUGCAUUUUUGUCC
RNAcentral lists this long non-coding RNA (691 nucleotides) under Nicotiana benthamiana. RNAcentral's name for it is "long non-coding RNA (NBEN_LNC020954)". Lineage: Eukaryota; Viridiplantae; Streptophyta; Magnoliopsida; Solanales; Solanaceae. The record is from RNAcentral.